AGGUUACUUGGUACAGUGGUCGACAAAAC
Molecule: long non-coding RNA, 29 nt
Filed under: Pongo abelii (Sumatran orangutan)
Lineage: Eukaryota; Metazoa; Chordata; Mammalia; Primates; Hominidae
Description: lincRNA
Source: RNAcentral